GUUAGUAAGAGAAAAAUCUGAGAGAAUGAGAGAUGAAGGGCUUUUUCUCUGGAUACACACAUUUCUUAGGCAAAGGAAAAGCUUAUAGAGGGUGUUGAAAGGCCAGGACUCAUGCAGUAUCAUCAUAAAGCACAUAUGUUUUCCCCACACCUGUUGAAAUCUGCUCUAUGGGGAUAGAUUUCUUCCACUCCAGAGUAAAAUCUCCACCUAGUCCCAAAGCUUAUUUGCUCACUCUUAGACCGCAAGAAACCCCCACGCCAUUUUGGUAAAAAAAAAAAAAAGUUUCAGUUCUGUAGUUAAUAUUUCCAGUCCAGUAUAAUAAUCAAACGUCUGAAGUUAUUCAAAGAUACUUUCUCCUCUCACUCAAGUCUGGUGCUGUCUGGAAAUGGGAAAGCGAGGAGGAAGACAGGCUCAACUUUUCUGAUGUUUCCAGCCUCUUAAGGGGAGGGAAAGAUCCCAUUGUGCUAUCACUGGUGUGAGUAGCUACACUGUUUAGUGGGACUGGAAUAUGUAUAAAGCGGAUUUUUUUUAUUUUGUGGAGCACUCCAUCCCUAGGGAGCUGUUCUCAAUAGGGCAGAGGUACGAGAGAAGAAACUGCCACCCUUCCUCCAUGCUGGCAAGGAAGGUUGAAAUUCUCUUUGUCUCCAAUACAACUCUUUUAUAACCCCAGGUGUCUGGGGCCAAGGGACACAAAAAAGAUUUUAGACACCACUUUGCACAGUGUGAAUAGAAGGCCUUGCACCUCAAUUUGGGCUGUGGGUGUAUUUCUCAUGUAUUGUUAUGAGGCAAGCAGCCCCUAAGGAGGACACUGCAGUCAGAAAUGCCAAUUCCAAAAUUACUUGUCACCUUACUGCCUGACUUUGCUUAUAGAUCAUUCUUAACAUACAGACCCUUUCCCCGUGACUACACAGUGCCAUUGAUUACAUUCAUUUCACUUUAGAUAUUUCUGUUUCUAGCCUCUGUUCCAGCACUGCAGUGAUGAAUUCAAGUUCCCUCUGUGCUCUGCAAAAUGCCUGCAGCAAACAGCUCAUCAAGAGAAUCCUACAGAAAUGCCUCUACAGCUGGGGUCAGAGUGGCUUUUGAGACCUUCUUUAACUCAGAGGGAGAGAGCAAAACAAAUUCUUUCAAGCUGAUUAUUACCUGGAAGAUUCUCCCACUGUAAGGUUGUUUCUUAUCUUCUUCUACGAGACGUCGCCCUUCUGAAAGAGUUGGAAGUCCAGCAUGGGUCUCACUGGGCAAAAUCAAGGCGUCUGCAGAGCUGUGAUCCUUCUGGAGGCUCUGGCGGAGAAUCUGUUUCCUCCAGAAGCAGCUUCUUGAGACAUUCACAUUCUUUGGUUUAUGGUCUCCUUCCUCCAUCUUCAAAGCCAGCAACAGUGGGUUAGGUCCUUCUCUUGUUGAAUCUCUGAUUGACUGUAGCUGGAAAAUGUUCUCCACUUUUAAGAACCCCUAUGAUUAGAUUGGCGUUGGUUCGAAAACUCCGGAGCUUUCUGGGUGAAAUCUGAAACUAGCUGGCCCCCUAACAUGGAGGACCAGGAGAAACCAAGGGGAGAGGCGGAUCCAGAUUGGGAGGUGGCAGUUUUAAUAAACCAGGGAACUUACAAACGAAGUUUGUCUUGGGUGGCUGCAAGAUGAGUAGAUCUCUGCCCUUACCCCCCAGGAUCUUAAGUUUUAUAGAGGCCUUAACGGGGUCAGUCAUGCAUUCAGUCCAGAUGGUCCCAACAUCUUACUCUCUCAAGGCUAUGUUCUUGAAACAGCUCCUAGUGUGGGAAUGGUGGGCCACACGUACAACCCAAGGACAGGAGAAGGGUGAGGAGGUUCUGAUUGCCCUGGGUCCAGCUAGUGGGUCAGCUUGCCGGCUAUGACCUCUCUAUGACCUCGUCCAACAAUUGGGCCCACUUGGAUAAUCAAGACAAGCUACGCAUCUCAAGGUGCAUACCCUUAAAGACCCUGCAUCUGUAAUAUGGUUCAUGGAUCCGGGCUGUUCUGCAUCAAAGCCAUCAAAGGCACUUUGAAUCUGGAGGGAGCACGUUACAGAAGAAAGAGAAACAUGAGCUGCAGUUGUUGUUAGACCUUGAGUGCAUUUCCAGUUCUGACCUUCACAAGCUCUGUAAGCAAGUGUAUUCUCCUGACGUUUCUGAUCCUGGGAUUUUUUAUCUGCAAAUGGUGAUAAAUCCAAGUUAAGAAAGUUAGUAACAUUCACCUUGUUAAUAAUUACAUGCUACACAUAUGUAAGUUAUUAUUCAGAGAAGUCAGUUUCUGGCUACAACGUUAGAAUGACUAAUUAUUAGCUGAGGGUAAGACUUUUAAAAUGUCACAAAGCAUAGUGUCAUCUGGGAAGGAAGCCAUUGAAAAUAAGAUGAGAAAUGUUACUAACACAAAUUUUACUUGAUCAAAAUUUUCUAAGGGAUUUCUCUGGUUACAAAAAUGUCACCACAGCACAACCUUGCAUUAGAUUCACUUAUUUAGCCAUAAGACUGGGUGGAU
Molecule: long non-coding RNA, 2484 nt
Filed under: Equus asinus (donkey)
Lineage: Eukaryota; Metazoa; Chordata; Mammalia; Perissodactyla; Equidae
Description: lncRNA (ENSEASG00005024898.1)
Source: RNAcentral